RNAcentral lists this ribosomal RNA (414 nucleotides) under uncultured bacterium. RNAcentral's name for it is "partial 16S ribosomal RNA". It matches the Rfam family "Bacterial small subunit ribosomal RNA", at positions 355 to 754 of the family's 1533-position model. The record is from RNAcentral.
UGGGGAAUUUUGGACAAUGGGCGCAAGCCUGAUCCAGCCAUGCCGCGUGCGGGAAGAAGGCCUUCGGGUUGUAAACCGCUUUUGUCAGGGGAGAAAUCUUCUGAGUUAAUACCUCGGGAGGAUGACGGUACCUGAAGAAUAAGCACCGGCUAACUACGUGCCAGCAGCCGCGGUAAUACGUAGGGUGCAAGCGUUAAUCGGAAUUACUGGGCGUAAAGCGUGCGCAGGCGGUUUUGUAAGACAGAGGUGAAAUCCCCGGGCUCAACCUGGGAACUGCCUUUGUGACUGCAAGGCUUGAGUGCGGCAGAGGGGGGAUGGAAUUUCCGCGUGUAGGCAGUGAAAUGCGUAGAUAUGCGGAGGAAACACCGAUGGCGAAGGCAAAUCCCCCUGGGGCCUGCACUGACGCUCAUGCAC